Oreochromis niloticus (Nile tilapia) is the source of this 3056-nucleotide long non-coding RNA. RefSeq lists it as uncharacterized. The transcript is spliced from 3 exons. NCBI's taxonomy places the organism in Eukaryota, Metazoa, Chordata, Actinopteri, Cichliformes, Cichlidae. The record is from RefSeq and is a predicted model, not a curated record.
UGUAGGGAGGCUUUGGGUGAUCGUGAUGCUCUAUAGUCAAGACGUUUAUCAUAUUCAUGACUGCAGCUGGGCCAAAUGGAGGAUGUAUCAACAUCUGCGGCCUCCAACAGAUGCUGCUGUCAGACGGAGUAGAUGACCCACAUCUGCACAAAAGCAGAAUCAUCAAAGGGGAAUAUCUAGAAGCUUGAUUUGAUCCCCGUCUGCUCGGAAGCUGAUCCAUGGGAACGCCAUUAGAAGGUCAUAUCUGCAUAAUUACACACGCACGCACGCACACACACACACACACACACAGUGAGCAGCCAGACGUGGAUCUAGAGGCUGAAGGUGGGCGGACUGGAAUCCUACCUGCCUACCUGCUCCAUGUGUGCGUUUGGAAAAUACAUCACGAGCAUCAAAGUUCAUCCUCGACCUUAGAUGCACGCUGUGUGACAAAACAGUCCAACUCAGGCUGCUUUUAUUAGCGUUUGCCUGAGCUUUAAGACACAUGACAUGGCCUUCUUCAACCGAUAAACACACGCAAGCUGUCUCCUGUACAAAGUAUGUUUCCAUACAACAAACAAACAUGUCAGAGGCAGAUUACAACAGAAACACUCGAUUUUUCUAACAGAGCCAAUCAAUACCUUCAUGCAGAUAUGCUGUCAGACUUGCAGGCCCUUGAGGUACACAGGGGUGGACUGAAAUUUGAAGCUUUUUAGUGAUUUUUUUUUCCAUCAUAGAUGAGACGUCCACAUCAGUAUCAUGGGAUAUAUCAUAGUCUCAGUAGCAGACCUGCACCAAUUUAAUGUCUGUGAUGUAGAGAAACUUAAACAAUUUCUACCCUGGAUGUUUGACCUCUUUAACUGGAGAAAACUGCUUUUAAAACAACACAUUUUGGGUAAACUUUCAGUUCAGGGCUCAUAUCACCAUGUGGGAUAUGUGUUUGGCAGAAGCAAGCUAUAGCAUUUGAAAGAUCUCCUUUUUACCUACACUUGGAUACCGAGAUCAUCUUUUUGUCAGUCUUCCUUCUUUGUUAGAAUAAUUUUCCAGUGUAGUGAUAUUAGAACACUCUGGAUGUAGCUUACAGCCGUGAAACAUUGGUGUUCACGAGUUCUUUAUAAUAAUUUGGACAGAUCACACAACUUUAAGUCCUGAAGAAGUUUUUCCAAAUCUUUGAAGUGCCUGGAUUGCAGAGGGUCCCUGGAUCAGUAGAUGCCCCCUUCACAUUGUGACCCUUUUGUUUGGACAUGAGGUGGGAUCCUGUUUACUUACUUUAUAACUUUAGUGGGGAUAUUCCAGCUGCUGUGACACUUGUGAUGGGUGAAGUCUCCUCAUCUGCCAUUCAUACUCAAACCACUGAGAAAGUAUUUGGAAAAAGAAGAUGCUAAGCCUCAACAUGUAAAGAGAAACAAGACCUUUCAUGUGCUAUAACUUGUAUAGCCGUUGUUACCAUAAAGUCACAAUCCUGUAACUUCUUCUUCUCCUGUCCCUGUUCCAGAGCAGCUUAUUGAGUUUAUGUAAAUGAACAAAAACGACCUUCUUUUUUUUAAACUAAUGUUACAUUUUGUUAUCAACACAGUAUUCCUGCAGGAUUUUAUAUUCCAGCUUAAUCUGCAGUUUAGCUUUGAUAUUUGUUUUAUUUUCCUUCUGAAAUUAAUUAAAAGGAUCUGAGAAGCAAGCAGUUGCACCCACCUCCCCUUUCACUCCCUCUUUCACUCCCCCACUCUGCAAAUACUAGUUUUCUCAUCAUUUGGGCUUUUUGAAAGCACAUGAAAGGAGUUGCAGCUCUGUGUAAAUUGUACUUCUUUGUAUUUUGUUUUAUUCUAUUCUGCUGCAUUCAGGGUGUAAUGGCGGUGGUGGUGGGAGGGCAAGGGGGCGUUGACAGAAGCCGCUCUGGUUCUUGUCCCUAGGGUGUUUCACUGGUGGCGGGUGGCCUAAUUCCCCAAAAUAGCUCAUUGAUGGGGAAUCAGGAACAGUCAAAGAGAUCGCAUGGAGAUUUGAUGUGAGCUGCUGGCGGUCCUGAUGAGCAUCGAGGCCGUCGCUCUGCAAUCUACCGGGAGAGUGCCAUUUACGCGCUUCCUCUUACAUGCAAAUACACAAAGCCUCACCUAGUGUGUGAGAGCGCUAUCUGCAGUUUUUUAUGGAGUCGAUCCUUCAAAAAGCUGCAGGAGACGUGCUUUAUCUCGUUGCCUCAGUGUCAGUAAUGCUUCUCAUUUACGGUUGUCGGACACUGUGACACCAUGACCCCAUGACCCACUUGUUGGUUGCAAAGAUGAUGCUUCAGGAAGUGAAACUUCCUCUGAUGUUUGCACAAGAGUGUGAGAUGAAAAUCAGUAAUAAGCAGUGGCUUUUAUAGAAAGGCAAACUCAGCCAAUGAACCAGCUAGCAUCCACUUCACCGAAACAUCCACUCUGGACUCGUGGCAAAACAUGAAAAGAACGUUUAAAGGACUCCUUGUCUAAACUGACUGAUGCUGGCCUCAAUGUUUCUGCCCGGUCUAUGAACUUGUCUUGUUUUUUUAAUUUUGUUUGUUUGUUUUUCAUGAUAUACUUUAUAAAGAACACUGUCAACACACUAAUGUGUUUCCACAGGAAAUGUAUUUGAUGUCUGCACAAUUUAUGUUGUCCAGAUUCUUCAGAGGAGACGCUACACCCUGUUGACCAACAGAAUGGAGCUUUACUUAGAAGUUGAACAAACUAAAUAGGAGGCUUUUAUUUUAAAGAUCUGGCACCUUUAACCUAUCUGAUAAACUUUUGCAACUGACUACAGGCUUUUAUUUCAGUUUUUAGUUGUUUUUUUUGUUUGUUUGUUUUUUUGUGAGAUGAAAAAAUAAUCCUUUUGAAUUCCUAUAACUAUCCCAGGGCUUUUAUUUGGAAAACUAGACACGACUGUGGUCUACUGCAUAACUUUAUGUGUCUCAAUGAGAGAUUUUAUGUUGAAAAGCUGCCAGAGAUCAGGUGCUUCUGUGCUGCUGUCUGUUGUCCAGCAGUAUGUGUCUGUGAGAAAGACUGACCAAUCUGUCUUAUAGAAGUCUAUGGGAAAACAGUCCUCACUGGCUAAGUGACCUUAGUAAACACUUU